This 292-nucleotide ribosomal RNA is filed under the name uncultured bacterium. RNAcentral's name for it is "partial 16S ribosomal RNA". The record is from RNAcentral.
GGACUACCGGGGUAUCUAAUCCUGUUUGAUCCCCACGCUUUCGCGCCUCAGCGUCAGUUGUCGUCCAGAUAGCCGCCUUCGCCACCGGUGUUCCUGCUAAUAUCUACGAAUUUCACCUCUACAUUAGCAAUUCCGCUAUCCCCUCCGACACUCCAGCUUCACAGUUUCAAAGGCAAUUCUUGGGUUGAGCCCAAGGAUUUCACCCCUGACUUGAGAAGCCGCCUACGCGCGCUUUACGCCCAGUAAUUCCGAACAACGCUAGCACCCUUCGUAUUACCGCGGCUGCUGGCAC